CUUAGUCGUGGUGUACCAAUCCACACUUAUGGUGCCCCGCGGCAAUAAUAAGGAGGAUUUUUAUCCGGGAGGCUCCCGGUGCGGCAUUGUGGAGACAUGCCGCAAUGCGUCCGCCAAGCCCGGCGGUCGUGAGAAUGCGGUGCGGAGGCAGCGCAGUCAGAGUCCAAACAGUAUGGCA
RNAcentral lists this non-coding RNA (178 nucleotides) under unclassified sequences. Its description in RNAcentral is "malK-I RNA". It matches the Rfam family "malK-I RNA". The record is from RNAcentral.